This 32477-nucleotide long non-coding RNA is filed under the name Capsella rubella. Its description in RNAcentral is "long non-coding RNA (CRUB_LNC004826)". The record is from RNAcentral. Lineage: Eukaryota; Viridiplantae; Streptophyta; Magnoliopsida; Brassicales; Brassicaceae.
AAAAAAAAAAAACUAAACUUGUUUUAUUAUGCUUGAUUAAUAUUUAAUAGUUUAUAUACUAAUGAGUAGUGAGUAACGACUAAGACUGGACACAGGUCGUCUCUCUUUCAAUUUUGGGAUAGCUAUUACUCUAUUAGGCAUUUACGAGUGAUAAAAUAUUAAUACAUGUAUCUUAUGUAGAAAAAUGAAUUAAAAAGAAACCAAAAUAUUUCCUAUGUCACAUGAUUCGACUUUAAGUAAUAUCCAAACUUCUAAAAAACAUCUAAUAAAUUUCUACUAUAAUAUUUCUAAAAAUAUUUAUAUUAAGCCAAAAACUUUAAAUAGUCAAAUCUAUUUUUUCAUCUUGAUAUAAAUUCAAAAUAUGUUAUAAGUUGAUUCAAAACCUAGAAAAUUGUAUAAUACAAGACUUACAUUUGUCCAUGUUUUUGGAAAUUAUUUUGUACAAAUGAUGUCAAUAGUAGUAUAUGGAUAAAUUACUAGGUAUGCAAGCAUCAAGAAUGAAUACAUAAUAAAAGAAAUAUUAGAUAUCUUAAAAAGAGUCAAUAUUUGUUGAUAAUAACUAGUUAAUUGUAUGAUAUCUUUAAUUUUUUAUCCAAUCAAAAACAUCAUUCCAAUUUACUUUAAAAUGGAUAUAAAUACGAUAAUGAGUCAACCAUUGGUAUUGUAUAUUCUGCAAUAACAAUACGUAAGAUUGAAUAUGUCAAUUUCACAAUUUUGUUUUGUCAGCUAUCAUGUAUAUAAUUUUUUUUGCAAAUUCACGACUGAAAUACUAUAGAUCAUAUAAAUUUAAACAUUUUUUUUGUUGACAACGUGUGUAUUUUUAAUCAUCUUGAAAAUCUGUUAGAUCAAUUGUUGUUUAUUGUUGUUGGAGAUUAAAAUAUGUCACAAUACAAUGCAUAUAACAGUUUUUUUUUUAUUUGUCUUCGUAUAUAACUUCAAGAAAUGCAUUGUAUUCUGAAAGAAUCUAGGUAGUAGAAGUUCUCCACAAAGGUCAAGUUUUCAGGCUUAUAAAGUGAAAGUGAAAUAUAAUUCUCUAAUAUUGAUGUCAUUAACAACGAAUUUAUCCAUCAUCGUUAGGUGAUUAGUGAAAUAAUUGGCAUUUGAAGUUGUUUAUAAAUAAAAGAAUAUGACCCAUCACUUACUUUUGUGAGUAUCUCCAUCCAAAUUUUUUUUUCCCAUCCAUUAUAUUCGGUUGAAUCUUGAAUACAUCUUUGUAUAGACGUAUUUUUAUGUUCAUCUUUACAAAUAUAUGCAUAAUAAACUAUUGAAAGUGUGAAAUGUUUGUACAUUAGUAAGUGACUUGGUGUCUUGAAUAAGAUUUCAAGAUUUAUUUCGUUAUUUCUUCGUUUAUCAACAUAUUCAUGUAUGGAAACUUCAUAUUAGAUCAUAUAAAGUAGAAUAGUACGUCGAAACAAUAAAAAAACCACUAACAUGUUCGAGUUUUGAGUAGAAUUAAUUAACCUGAAAUCAUGCAAUAAUACAAUAUAAUAAAUGUAGAGUAACCUAAGCUAAGAGCUUGAACCUACGAUCUUAAAUGGAAAUAGUUGGGAGGGAACAUGUGGAAGAAGCUCACCACCGGCCUUGUUCAAUUAUGAUACAAACUAAAGUCGUUGAUUUGGUCACAAACAAUCCACCUUUCAUUUAAUACCCAAACCUAAUUCCUCACCUGUUUUCUUUUCACCAUUUCUAAUAAUUGGGAUAUCUUCAUUUUAUAGAUAAUAUUUAUAUACUACGUAGUCACAACACAAGCCUAGUGACACCAAAACAAUACACGAGUUUAUUUCUCUUACUUAUGUAUAUAUAAUAUAUAUUUUUUAAUUGGUGCAUUAAUAUGGACAAAAGUUAGGAUUUUGUACGCGGAAAAAACACUACAGCUGGUCAACGUUCAGAGAAGCACAAGUGGCUUUGUCAAACCUAGAUACGACUUUUUCUUUCAAUCAGAUUAUUCUACUGCAAAAUAUCUUCUCUUCUUGAUUAGUAACCAGCUACAAUUAGGGUUAACAAUAAAUAUCAAUGGUAGCAAAAAAUUAUUAUUUGGUAUAUGGUUCAUGAGUCAUGACUGAAAAGAUCUUGGUCGAUAAAGGCCAUAAGUGAUCGAAGUAUCGGUGAAAUAAAUCCUACUCUCCAAUGUUUUUGUUUCUACGUAGUUCCUCUUCCUUGUAGUAAUGAUGUUUUAGUGUGUGUCGGCACUUGCAAGUUUUAUAUAAUUGGAUAAAAAAUAAGCCCUUAAUACAUCUUAAUUUUAGAUUAAUAACGAAUGAGAAAUAUGUAUGUAAGUCACAUUUUAUUGGACCCACCAAUCUUAAAGUGACUAGCCCUACAAAAAUUAAAUCUACAAAAAUCACAAAUAUCUCUCUAUAUAUAUAAACCCACAACUUCUUUGGACAUUCACUCACAUUCACUGCAUUGUCCAUUAUCAAACAAUCUUCUUUACUACUUUGAAAUGGAGAGUUACUUAAGCAAAUGGUGUCUAGUGUUUGUGUUGUUGAGCUUCGGUUCUAGUUUAGUAAAAGCACAACCACAAGCUCAAGUUCCAUGUUUCUUUGUUUUUGGUGACUCUUUGGUUGACAAUGGAAACAACAACGGUCUUGUUUCUUUUGCAAGAGCCAAUUACUUCCCUUACGGUAUCGAUUUUGGCGGCCCUACCGGCCGUUUCUCCAACGGCAAGACUACCGUUGACGAGAUCGGUAUGCAUAUACUUUGUUACAACUAUCUUCUCCAUAUAACUAAGUAGCUAUAUACAUAGUCUACGUGAUUUAUAUGUUAAUAGUCAUAAUCUAACAUGGUUUUGAUAUUUCUUGGUGAUUAAAUGAAGCUGAGCUACUCGGAUUUAAUGGCUACAUUCCUGCGUAUAAUUCUGUCAGUGGUCGGCAAAUACUCUCCGGUGUUAACUACGCAUCAGCAGCAGCUGGAAUCCGAGAAGAAACCGGUCGACAAUUGGUAAUUAGAAACAUUAUUAAAAAACCAUUUUCUCUUAAUAACUCUCUAAUUCAUUCAUUCAUUGUAAAUUUUCUAACCAUUUUUUGUUCCUUUUUUUUUUUUUUUGGAAAAUAAAGGGACAAAGGAUAAGCUUUAGUGGGCAAGUUAGGAACUACCAGAACACGGUAUCACAAGUCGUGCAGCUGCUAGGAGACGAGGCUAGUGCAGCUGAUUACCUCAAGAGAUGUAUCUACUCUGUUGGUUUAGGAAGCAACGAUUACCUCAACAACUACUUCAUGCCUAAUUUUUACUCUUCUAGCAGACAGUUCACUCCCGAACAAUAUGCCAACGAUCUCAUCAGUCGUUACAGCACUCAGCUCAAUGUACGUUUUUCUUUACUUAUGGCUUCUUUUAUCUCUGUUUGUGUCAUUAGAUCUUUAAUUAAUACAAACUGAAAAGGUUUGGCUCCAUCGAAUUGACUCAUUUACUUUUUUAGAUAUGGGUUUGGUCCAACUUAUAAUUUCCUAUUAUGCCCCAUCUCAUGAAAAUGCGAUUUUUGUUUUAACAUGAAAAUAUUUCUUUUGGGCGGAGAAUGACAAAAGUAGAAAUAUAUAGUACAAGUUAAGGUAUCAUACCAAUAAAUUUAUACCCAAUCCGAUAAGUUUCUAGCCUUAGCUUGUAUAAAUUCCGGCUUUAGAUUAAACCCUGUUUUAUGGAAACGAAUAAUAUUAAAGAAUGAGUAGUGAAAUUUCUUUAAUUUUGUAAAAUUUGUAUUGGGAGACUUACUAAUUUCACUAUCAAUUUUUGGUGGGUUUUGUUGUGUAGGCACUAUACAAUUAUGGGGCACGAAAGUUUGCAUUGAGCGGAAUUGGAGCAAUCGGUUGUAGUCCGAAUGCGCUCUCGGGCAGCCGUGAUGGUAGGACUUGCGUAGACCGCAUCAACUCAGCGAACCAGAUCUUCAACAACAAGCUCCGAUCGCUCGUUGAUCAGCUCAACAACAAUCAUCCUGAUGCAAAGUUCAUCUACAUCAAUGCUUAUGGCAUUUUCCAGGACAUGAUCACAAACCCCUCUAGAUUUGGUAUGUACACACAAGCGUGGUUUUCUUUUCAGUGAUAAAGAAACCGAACUUGAUAUUGGUUUUGUCGGAAAUGCUUUUUGUUCUUUUCAGGGUUUAGGGUGACGAAUGCAGGAUGUUGUGGUAUCGGGAGGAAUGCUGGUCAAAUCACAUGUUUACCGGGACAAAGACCCUGUAACAACCGAAACGCGUAUGUGUUCUGGGACUCAUUUCACCCGACCGAAGCUGCAAAUGUGAUUAUCGCAAGGAGAUCAUACAACGCACAAUCGCCUUCGGACGCUUACCCUAUGGAUAUUUCAAGGUUGGCACGGCUUUGAAGAAACAUAGUAAAAUAAGAAUGAAAGUUCCACAAACCAAUUUGUGAUCUUUUUUUGUGUGUACCGUACUGCUUUUUUACUAUCUUCUUGACACAAAUGUAAUGGAGUAAAACAUUAUUAUAUAUAUUACUGAUUUACAUAUAUAGCACAAUUUCUACACUGGUUCAUCAGUCAUCACUCAUACAAGCGAGCAAUGAGAGGACAUUGUUCACGGAAAUUGAGCGUUACGGUUCAUUUCGACAGACAUGAUAUCAAGAACAAAACACUUACCAUGUUGCUUCCAGUAAUCAGCCAUCGGAUUGAUCCACUCCGGUUCAGCAAUCUCGGCCCUCUUGUGCUUCAAAUCAUCAGUCGAAAUGUUGUACUUCUCAUCUCUUCUCUUCACCAACUCCGGCCUUAGUACCCCUUCCCCCACCCCCUGGGGUGACAUCAUCAGUUCGGGUGCACCAAUUGGUAACUUGUCACCUAGAGAAACAAACACACACAAUGAUCAAUGAUUGGCUGACCAAAAUAGACCAAACAAAAUCGAACCCACUUCACCACUAUAAAUUUUUUGAUACUAAUUAAUGUUUGCUGUUUUAACCGAUUAAUCGGGAGAACUUAAUUGUUUAACCAUACGGUUAAUGGGUGUAUUAUUAUCUAAAAGAAACGGUUUAACGCCCCGGUAUUUAGAUCAGAGACAUACCUCGGUCUAUCUGCCAGGUGCACCAGAACUUUCCAUACGUUUUGGCCAUGUUCUUGAGCUCUGGAGCAGCCACAACCUCAGGCAAUCGUGGAUAAGCCCACGAGCCUGACUUAACCUCGUAAGCAUGAGAGUGCCAAAGCUUUUGCUCAUCUUGAGGCAGACUUUCAUAUAAUCGGUCCGAUAUUACAUAUUCAAUUCCUGUUUUAAACAACUUUCUUAUACAUGAUUUUCAAAAUUAGGCAUUCGAUUUAAGCGUAAAAAAUAACAUCUCAGAAGUUAAAACACAGUACCGAUGAGAGGUGCAUCGGAACGAUCAGAGGCGUAUACCGCGCACUGGAGGAACUCGUCGUUGACUCGGUGGACGUAGUGGUGAGUCUCUAUUUGCCGGGACAUGUCACUUCCAUAUAUCGAAAAAGUAGAGACAUGACAGUUCAUCUGCUUCACCGGUAAUCGCCGCUGCAUGAUCGUCGAACCAGCAUCAAUCAGACGUGUAGAAAACGUCACCGGACCUCCAGGAGGCACCUGAUCUUCGCCGCCGCUCGAAGCCAUUCUUGAUUUCCUUUUCUUUGUUCCAGUUUUGAUUUUGCAUUUUAGUAUUUGGUUUCUUGAUUCGAUUAUAUGUACAUUUUGUUAACUAUUAUUACGAUACAUGGCAUGUAAAUGUCGUAGAAACGUGUCACGAAACGCUCGUACAUCGACCAUGUGUUGAGUCCAACUACAUAUUUACAUCUCUGAUUUAAUUAAAAUUGUCUACAAAACCCAACCGGACAAAAAUUCAACCAAAACCAAAAAACCAAACCAAUCUAAUGUAGAAACCGAACCAAACUGAACGGUUCCCAUAAGCAACCGACACAUGUACAAGAAAGAUUCGCUGUGCAAAGAAUGCUGACGGGAUAAUAUUUCCGGCCGCCGGGAAAACAAGAACUCAUCUAAAUCUCUCAAUAAUUUAGCAACGAAUACUUCACACGCAAUACAAUCUUACCCUUUUCCACGCCUAGCUUUGCUCCAGUGACAAGCCAAUGUCCAGGCAGAUCCUUUGGUCCUUUCAACAUCUCUGACGAAUCCACGAUCUUGGCCAGUUUCCCUGAUUGUCCUGACACGUCCUCUUUCUUUUCCUCGGUCGAACUCGAUGUAGAUGGACCUCCGGGUUCCAGUCUCCCUGAGGAACUAACCGGAGUGUGGUCCCAGACGGACCGUCUUAUUGUACAACCGGGGACUUUAGAGAAUAGUAAUUUCAAAUGCAAGACGUUUUUUGAUCCGAAAUCCCAAACCCCGAGCUGAGCUCCGGUGACAAUGUGAACACCCGAGAGAUCGCCGAUGUGGGUCUCAGUGUGUUCGAUAGGCGAGGUGCUUACAUGAGAGAAGUUCUUCCACUUAAUUGGCUCGAACCAGCGGCUAUCUUGCUCCUCUGGUCCUUGCCAUUUCGGUGCACCUAUUGGCACGUGAGAGUCCCAAUGCGGCUGCAGGAUUUUGGGGAGAGAGACUAAGUGUUGUAAAUGGAUGGAGAGACGGUUUUGUUUGCUUCCUUCUAAGCUCAGCCUGAGACCUGUGACUGGUUUACGCCCAACCGUUACCUGAAAAUACCCAAGGACAAUAUGCUUAGUUCAUCCAUAAAUUGAACCAGAACAAAACAAAAGAAUUGGUCGCUCUGAGUUACCUGAUCGGCACUGAUGAAUAGUUUGGGACCCAUUAAGCUGAACUGAAGAGAAGGACAAACAGGUUCUUUACGUUGGAGGUUACUCUGUUCGGGAGCCCAAGCUCGAGCUAUUUGGAAAUCCAAGAAGUAUUGUAAAUCUUCAAUAGGAGGCUUAUCUGGUAAGAACAUCAAGAGGUUUGUUAUGUUUAUGAGAGUGUAAACAGGUGGAUUCGAAUAUGAAGAAGCUCAAAUAUUUUGAUAGAAACUCACAUUCUAAGUAAAGUUCGAUAGCACGAGUCAAAUGCCGCAGACCAGGCACACCUUCAAGCAGAGAAACAAUAGGAGUAAAAGUCAUGUUGAUAAUGUCUGGAGCUGCAGGUACUGUCUCAGCCCAUCGAGCAUGGCUUUGCUCAAGAUCGUCGCCUCCUCUACGCCUAAAUAUUACUGUGAUAUCCUACAGGAGAGAGCUUUUUCAGCUAAUAUUCUUCGUUUAACCAUAGUCUUAGAGGGAAUUAAUUUCUUUAACCAGAGUACUCUCGCCAUGGCCCGUGAUGUUGUACUAACCUUGUCUUUGUAUUUUAAGGGGCCGGUAAUAGAUUGACUCUCCGCUUCAUGAAACCUGUGCUCCAUCAUGUCAUUCACAUAGUUUUCGAUUUCAGAUACCGGUAAAGGAGAAGACUGAUGUUGUCUAAUGUAAACUACGUCUCUUCCACCAAUGGUCACCGAAGUUACAAUAUGAGUGCCGUAAUUUUCAAUAAAGCUGUACCAAAGAGUAAACAAGUGGAGAAACCACAUAAGGAUCAUGAUAAAUGUCAACGAGAAUCACAUUCAAGUGUAGCUUCCAAGAUUUGAAACCGCAGAAAGAGAAAAGGUUUCUAGAUUUAUAACACUCAGCAAAAUUUGUCUUCACCACUUAUAAAGUCCUUUCUUCAUUUGGCUACAUAAAUUAUGGGUUUCAUUCAAGAUAAGAAGAAGAAACUGACUAAAAAUCAGUUUCCAAGCAUUCCACUGGUAUCAACAUUUCUUGAUGCCAUAUUCACAUAGAGAUUAUAAACAGCUAGACAAGAAUUUACAGAACGACGGAAAACAUGGUGAAUUAAAGAGUGGAUUAUACCUAGCUAAGGAAGCGGGAUCCCAUGAGGAAGGAACAGCACGUCUGAUCUCGUUGUGCAAUACCAAUGUAAGCUUUGCCAAUUUGACUUCAUAAAGCGGGAUAAAAUAUCCAACAAGAGCAAGAGAUUUUGUGGAUGCUGCAUCGACUUGCCAAGAACCCGUGUAAUUGAACAUUGCGUUAAAGCAUCCGAGUGGUAUGUUCCCUUUUACACCUGAUCUCUCAUUGAAAUAUUCUGCCAUCUGCCAAAAAAGGUAUAUCUUUUGAAUAACCAGAAGCCACAUAAAAAAAUUUCUAGAGAGACACCUAGACUUCAAUAAUCAUUUUUAACCCCCACAGACCAAUCUUUACCCAAAUACCGAAUAAAGAGAGAACGCCAAUAUAAGAAACAGUAUUGAUCAGCAUAUAAACCCGAUAUUCUGAAAUUUCCCUAAGCUUCUGACUCGAUCAAACUACAUUUGCCUCAGUCAAGUGGAAGCUCAAUGUAAAUCUUCCAUAUUUAGAAAAGUCCAAAGUCAAUUAGGGUCCUCUGAGCUAGUGGUAUUAAAAAUCCACAGAGACUCCUAAACUUCGAUACUCAGUUACCCCCCACAGAACAAUCUUUACCAGAAAACUGAAUAAAUCAAGUACACCAAUAUAAGAAACAGCAUUUAUCAGCACAAAAGCUCGAUACAGCUAUAUCUGUUCCGAUCUUUCCCUAGCUUCUGACCUAAUCAAACUACAACUGCCUCAGUCUAGUUAAAACUCAAACGUAAAAGCUUCCAAAUUUAGAAAAGUCCAAAGUUAAUUAGGGUCCUAUGAGCUAGUGGUUCCACAAAUCCACAGAGACAUACCUAAACCUCAAAACUCAUUUUGACCUCCACAGACCAAUCUUUACCAGAAAACCAAAUAAACCAAGAACACCAAUAUAAGAAACAGUACUGAUCAGCACCAAAACCCGAUACAGCUAUAUAGAGAUUUCUCUAAGCUCCUGACUUGAUCAAACUACAAUUGCCUCCGUCAAGUUAAAACUCAAAUGUAAAGCUUCCAAAUUUAGAAAAGUCCAAAGUCAAUCAGGGUCCUAUGAGCUAGUGAUUCCACAACAAAUACACAGAUCAGACAACAUCUAACUGUAGAUGCGUAAUCAAAGACAAAGACAAAAUAAUAUGGGCUAAAAUCUAACAAUGGCAUUUCAAAAAAAAAUUGGGGGAAAGUUACGCAAAAACCGCUGAAAAAAAUCACCUGGUGGAAACUGCAAACAGGGAUUCGUUGAAUACUAUUUCUGCCUCGUGAACACUCAAUAUCAGCUGGGACAUUAGGAAGAAGAUAUCCAUCAGACAACUCAAGAUCUCUGUUUUGUCCUUCUUCGAUACGGACAAGUCUUGACCCAGGAGCUCCUUUGCAGUAGAGAAGCCGAACAUCAGAGGUAACAUCGAAACCACGACCCAGAGCUUGGAUCGCAUUACGGAGCGUCGUGGUCAAAGCUUCUGAGCUAGAUACGCUAAAGUUUCCACCUUUACGAUUCUCCAUUUGAGACACACACACAAAAAUAAAACCUUUGAGACUAAAUCUUGAAAUCGAAUGAUUGACGAUUACAAACUCAUCUAGGGUUCGUGGGGAAAGAUAGAGUUUUUGAGCUUUCGAUCGAUUUUUUUAGACUCUCUCACCAACACCAUGCCUGGUUUUGACUCUCCAAUAAUCGUAGAAACCGCGUUUCAGAUUAUUUUUUUUUCUUUUAAUUUAUUUGUUUUCUCUUUUUUUUUUUCUUCUUCUUUCUGUGUGAUAUCAAGAAGAUUCUUAGGUUGACUGGUCUUUUUCUUUGGUUAUAUACUAAUUAGAUCCUUUCUUCAUUUCCAGACAGACAAAUUCUUUGACUUUAUGUUUUUAAUUUCCCUUUUUCAAGGGUUUCUAAUAUAAUCAUGUCUCUGUUCUUGAAAUUGAGCGUAUGAUUUUCUCUUUAAAAAAAAACAGAAAAGAAUAUACAACAUUUCACUAAUUAAAAUCAAACUAAAGUUUCUGUUAUAUACAGUAAAACCUCUAUAAAUUAAUAAUGUUGGGACCAAGAUAUUUUAUUAAUUUAUAGUGAUAUUAAUUUAUCUAUAAAUUAAUAUUUAUUAUUUUAUAGUGUAAAUUAAUAAUUAUUAAUUUAUAGUGGUAUUUAUAGUUUUUCAAAUUUUAAAAAAUUAUGAAUUGAUACAAUUUUACAAAAAUAAGACUAUUUUUUUAAAUUUUAUAAAUUAUACAGUAGUUUGAAAGUGAAUACUAUAUUUAGGAAAAAAAAAUUUUGACUGUAAAUACAGAUAUUAUAGAUAAAUUCACUUACACAAAUGAUAUACAUAAAUUCAAAUGUAUAUUAAUAACCUCAAUUUUUAUAUUUUAACAUCCUAUAUAAAAGUGAAUAUGAUGCAUAUUUAUUGUUUUGUCAAUAAUAUGAUGCAUAUUUAAAAAUUGAAAGCAUAAAGAAAAUUUGGUUAUUUUUAUGACUUGUGAUGGUAUAUAUUACAAGAUUAUUGUUUAAAAAUACUAACAUAAAAUACUAACUCUAGGAGAAAAUUUAUUUUUACAAAAAAAAACUAAGAACAUAUAUUAAUAUAUCUACUUAUAUGUAUAUAUAGAGUGAUUAUUAAUUUAUGAUAUUAUUGGGACUAUAUUUUACAUAGAGAUGUCAGAAUAAUUAUUAUCUUAUUAUAUUAUCGAAUUUCGUCAAUUUUUACACCGGCCUGACUUGGGACCAGCAAAAUUUAUUAAUUUAUAGUGUUUAUUAAUUUAUAGAGUAUUAAUUUAUGGAGGUUUUACUGUAUAACUCAAAUAUUUCUUUACAAAGUAUUUCUAUAACUUUGUAUAUGUACUGCUCAUUAUCAGAUUUCAAUUCUUUCUUAGACUAUUUUUUUAGGCUAUACUAUUUAUUUGUGAGUGUUCCCAAACUUAAAUAUUUUAGUUUGGUCAAAAACUUAAUCUCUUAUUAUCAGCUAAAAUUAUACUUAAUUAUUUUAAUAUAUAAAAUUUAAUCAAAGAUACAUCUUUUAAAACUUUUUUUUGUUAGUUAACAGCUACAUUUUCUUUUAAUGAAAAGAGUGAUCCUCGUAGAGAAAAGUUACAAAAAAUUUAGGUACAUAAAAUAAAAUAUGAUUAAAAAUCUAAAAUUAUUUUUAAAAAAAAUCAUAGUUGCAAAAAAAAAAAUUGUGUGGAUUGGGCCGUCCAAACAAUUUACAUACUACAAAUAACAAACAAAUUUGGGGCACUUCCUUCUUGACAUUCUUCAAUAGUUAUGUAUGAGUCUAAAAGUUAUUCAUUUUCUUUGUUAAAUGCAAAACCCAAUUCUUCAAAGUCAGAAUCCUCGAGAUAAGAUAAACCAUCUUUUGCUUUGCGUAGGGAUUUCUUAAAUACAAAUCGGAUGCCAGCAGUUCAGCCAUAUUGAAAAGUAGUCUUGCCGAAUACAUUGAACCCAUAUAUGAUGAUUAUAUUUCUAAUACGCCCCUCGAUGAUAGCUCUUCUAGCCGUAAAUCUUGGCAUGUUUUAGCAAAGAUCGGUGGACCAAAUUUGUGUUAUACCAAUAGUGGAUGGAAUGGACAAUGCAUAGAUACUAUAUUAGACUAUGAAGUUCUAACUUAAAACUAAUUGAUAAUGAGUUAAGAUACUCAUAUCAUAUAUAUAUACCAUUUAAGAUCAUAUUCAAUUUCUAAUAUGGAGUAUUGUUAUUCCUAAUUAAUAACAUUAUAUUAAGUGUCCGAAGAUGGAGCCAAGAUGUCUAGCGGCACAUGCAUGCUGUAGGUUGCAACAGUUGAGGUUUUGGUAGCUCUUUUAACAAUGAGAGAAAGCUGCGCACCAUAAAAUGAUUUCAUAAUCGUUCCUUCUUUUUUUACUAUGCUUGCUAAAAUUCCCUUUGCAUCACGUACGCUCGUGGGAGAAGUUGUUAGACGACCAGUGUAAUUUAUAAUAUCAGCUCUUUUUUUUUUGGUAAAAUAAUAUCAGCUCUUUAAUGCUUCAGAAGUUUCAUGUUGCAUACACAAUGCGGUUCGUACGUAGUAGAGAGAUGUCUGAUCUUCAGGGGAUACAAGGAGAUAUAUACCUGAGAACAACAUAGAAGCAGAACUCAAAUAUGCAUAACCUGAAUGUAUUAUUUGUUAUCGUAGACCAUAUAUUCUUAUAGAUUAGAAUUUAGAAAAUAUUUUUUUUUUUUGCAUAACCUGAUUAUUAUUUGUCAUCGUAGACCAUAUUCUUAUAUAUUUAUAAUAUUAUUAUGCAUACCUAGGAAGUAUGAAACAAAUCACUUACGAUUUACCAAUGUUCUGUUAUGUAAAUAAGCUCUAUACUGACUACUGAGCCACCGGCCACGCACUCGAAAUUAACAGGUUGCGAAAAUUUAGUUAUAACUUAUUUAUAGUUACUUCCUUAUGGACAUUGGUAAGAUCGUCUUCUCUCAAGCGACUCGUUUUUUAUUUAGAGAAACGUAAAUAAUGGCAACACUAUUAUUAAUGGAUUACUUCUGAAUGUAAGAAAAAUGUUACUGACUGAUGUUUUCCUUGUUUCUUUGGUUAAUUAACUUAACUCAAAUUUCUUCAGAACCGAAUCUUAACUUGGUUUGCAUACAGUGUUGAAGAUUCAAUAUAUUCUACAACCUAUGUAUCACUUCUUUGAUUUAAAUACGUACGUGACGUUAAAUUAUUUAACAAAAAAAAAAUGGUUAAUAACUUGAUUUGAUACUAAAGGAAGUAAGUAUCUAGGAAUAACCUGCAUGGCUGCAUCCGCUUAUUUAAUUGAUGAUGUAGACCGUGUAUAGUUAUAGGCUUAUAGCAUCACAUAUGAUAAGUGAUGUCAAAUAUUAUUAGGUUUUUUUGAGUCUGUUUAUGUUAAAUAAAUGAUGUAAAAUAGUGUGAUCGCAAGGAUAUUAACAUGGAGUCUUUUUUUCCUUCAGGAAUCUCGGACUCAAUGUUUCGUUAUUUUACACAUUUACAUUGGUUGUUACAAAUUUACCUCAAAAUCUUAAAACAAGUUUUAUAUUUUGUUUUAUUGAUUUCGUUAAUUUUAUUUGAAUAUUUUUUUAUAUAGUAGAUAUUUUCAUAUUGUUUUGAGAAUAUAUUUUCUAGUUUUUUGUUUGUUUGACAGCAAGAAUAUCUUCUAUUUACUAUAUAUAUCGAAUUACUCCUAACAAGCUAGUAUAAAAAUAAAAACACUUGUCUAGCUAGGUUUAUAUUUUUAUACACUAAACGUCGCUCUUCUCAGUUUAUCUUCACCAUGGGGGAGUCCGUGAUUACUUCGCUUUUCUCUUUUUUGACUUCCAUGUGCGAGUAUGUGUUCAAGGCCACAAAGCCUUUGAAGAAAGAUGAGAGAGAGAUUCCUUCGUGCACGAAGGAGGACAGUGAGGCGACUACGAUCUUAAUUACUGACGCUAAGAGUCGUCCUGCCAGGGAACUUUUCUCUGAGUCUGAGCUGAAGGCUCGUCGUCACGAUAUAGAAACACGGGUAUAUUGUGCUCGCCUUAUAGAGGAGUCGUGGAAGAAAGAGCUUGCCGAGAAGGCUCGUCUUCAGGAUAUGGAAACACGGUUAGAUCUUGCUCGCCUUAGAGAGGAGCUUGAGAGGAGGGAAGAGCUUGCCGAGAAUGCUCUUUCUGAAGCUACUUCCAACAGCAAAAAUGACUCAUCUGGCUCCUACUCUUCUUCAGCAGUGGCAGAGUAUAGUUGGGAGGAACAUGAUGAUGUUUAUAAUGAAAAUUUUACUGAAACUACAAAAGAGGAGAGCACAAGUUGUGAAGAUUCUAGGGAUGAUGAAUGGAUUAUGAUAUGAUGGAUUCUCAUAAUGUUGUAUAACGAUUUUUGACCAACUCGUUCUCAUCAUCAUAACAUCUAUGCUUUGGGUUUUUUAAUUUUUAAUUUGCAUGUCAAUUUCUUUUUCUUAUUUUUUAUUUAACCCAUAACUAAUUGGGAAUUAGCACUUUUUUUUAGAAUUGCAUGCAAUGAUUUUUCUUCCCUUUGGAAAAUUGCGUCAAAUUAAUUAUCGUUUAGAUUUACUAAUGGAUUACUAAUUUCCAUUAAUCAUAUACAACUUUUUCUGCAAUGAUGUUGACUGAUCUUUUUCCUUAUUUCUUUAGUAACUUACUAUCAACUUUCUUCAGAAUCUAAUCCAACUUGGUUUCACAGCCUAUGUAUGAUUCAGUUCUUUCAUUUAAGUACGUAAUGUUAAAAUUUAUUUUAACAAAAAGUGGUUAAUAACUUAAUAUAUACUACAUGAAAUUAAGUUUCAAAAAGUAUAAAAGCCAUGGGAUUCCAAAAUCCAAAUUAGCCAGGAGAAUCAGAUCAACUAGGAUUUUUAAUCCACCUGCUUCCCAUAAUCCCAUUGCAUGCUAACUAACACCCACAAAAAUGGACGACAUAAUAACCAAGUUAGCAUGCAAGAUGCAAUAUUUGCUUAUGGAAAUACACAAAUACUUAAUAAGUAGUACUAAAGAUUCUUCAAGUGACCCAUAUAAAUAAAUAAAUCCCCAUCCCCAAGCAAGUCAGCUUGAAUGCAUCUAUCCCAGAGCCACCAAUCCUAGUAGAUUCACUUUUGGCGGAAAUCUAUUCUGAUACUACUAUCUUUGUAUUUUCUCUUAUACUAUAUCUUUAAGACAUCUAACACUAUAAUUCUUAUAUAUCUAUCUUUUUGAUAUAUUUGUAUCCCUUCCUCAUUCAUCGUUUUACUUAUAAAUCUACCUUCUCAUAUGAAAUAAUCUUUAAAAUGUUGUCAAAAAUAUAAUCAUUUAUAAUCUUUAAUAUAUCAUCAAUGAGGUUCUUGGACUCAAAUCUAGGAUGCGAUGAUUUUUUAAAAACAUGUUGUACCGCACACAAGUAAGUUUAAGAGCAUUAUGAUAAUGUUGUAUACGUCUCAAUCACUAGUCUCUUUGUAAUCCUUCGAUUAUAGAUAAGAUACUUUGGGUUUUAAGUUGCAUUAUUGGUUAUCUUCAUAUUUUUCAGCUUAUUUUGGAUUUUUUUGUCCUUUUAUUCGGCUAUAUUUAAAACUGUACAUUAUUUGUUCUGUUAAUGUUCCCAAAACACUUUGUUACUCAAUUUUUUUUUCUAGCAAUUUAACCACAUUAUAAAAGAAUCGAUGUGCUGUGCAGUGCACCCGCUUUAUUAAGAGAAAAUAUGUCUUGAAAGUAUAGUUUGCUCUACGCCAUAUAACUAGCUAGUUGUAUAUAUAUAAUAAAUUUUCUCGAAUAAUUGUAGAUUGCAUUUGGACAAGAACGAACAUCCGUUAGAGAAAAUGUCUUUGAGAACAUCAAUUAUUUCUCCUCAUAUAUUUUGAAAGUUUUAUGUAUGUUAAAUAACCUUUUAUUGUUAAUGAAUUAUAAGAAAUAGUACAUAUUGUUUGGAUACAUAUGGCAUUCUGUUAAUUGGUUGGUUUUUAGUUUGAAUUAUUCGAGUUUCGAAUUUCAGAAUGCUGGUCCAUUUGGAAUAUAAUUUUAUGUUUACUUGUUCAGGAUUUAUGGUUUCAGAAUUGUUUAGACUUGGUUUGGUUCGGAAUUUUGAUCAUUCGUAAAUAAAAGAAAUGUCUGCUUUUUUUUUAUUAGAAGACAAAUACAGACGCAUGCAACAUACUUGAAAUACAAAUUUCAAAGAAACAACACAUUUAGAAUACGGAGGCAACUCAAGUGUUUGAGCACGAAAGAGAUAGUAAUCUUAACACUGAACUUUGAACGUGAGAUAGUUUGUGGAGAAGUGGAAAGAUUUUGGAGGUUUGAGAUUUUGGAGAUUUUGAAGAAGUGGAAAGAUCAUUCAUAUUUGUAUGUGAACCGUUUAAUUUAUUUGGAGAUUAAUUCAUAUAAGGAUGUAUUUUCUAGAAUGAUUAAUAAUGUGAGGAAGGAAUUUAAAAAAAAAAAUCAGAAAUUACAAAAUUAUAUAGUUAGAUGACGUGGACGAGUUUGAUUCGUCAUUUCUUUAUUUUUGGGAAUAUAAAAACUCUGUUUUUUUUUCUCCUCCCGCUUUACAGCAGAAAUAAUAACAAGAAUGGAGGAUCUUUCUUCUCUCUCUUUCUUGAAACUAGUCCGAGAAUAUUUCUGUAGAGGAGAUCACAAAAAAUCUUUGGAGUUUAUUGAAGAAAACAUGAGUUUCUUCAAUGUAGAGGACAUCGUCAAAGUUAGGACAAAAUUAAUUUGUCGAAUAACCGUUCGAAGUUAGGACAUGGUCGAAGUUAGGACAAUUUAAACAAAUGAGUUGAGUUAUCCAUUUUGACACCCCUAACUAUAUCUUUAAGACGUCUAACACUAUAAUUCUUAUAUAUUGAUAUAUUUGUAUCCCUUCCUCAUUCAUUGUUUUACUUAUAAAUCUACCUUCUCAUAUGAAAUAAUCUUUAAAAUGUUGUCAAAAAUAUAAUAAAUUAUAAUCUUUAAUAGUUCAACACAUACAAAAUCUGCAUUAUCACUGAAACCUCCAAAAUCUCUAUUAUCACUGAAAUCUCCAAUCCCUCUUCUUCUCCAAGAGCUAUAUAUUACAUUUUAUCUUCAACUGAUCCAUCUCUAAAAAGUUUUAUUUCACAUGUGUUAUUUACAUCUGUCUAUCCUCUCAUGUAGUUUGUACUGUCACACUUUAAAUGUCCGAAGAUGGAGUCAGGAUCUCUAGCGGCACACCUGCUAUAGGCUCCAACACUUGAGCUUUUGGUAGCUCUUUCAACAAUAAUUCCUGCAUUUAAAAAUCAAACAUCAAAAACAUUUAUCACCAUUGAGCCAGGUUGAACCAACAUUUGAUUUCGAUUUCAAUAAUUUUUGGGGGUUUUAAGAAAGCUGCACCUUAAAUGAUUCCAUCGUUCCUUCUUUCUUUAUUAUGCUUGCUAGAAUUCCCUUUGCUUCAAGCUCGCCAUUUUGCAUUGGCACAACAAACCUAAAUGUCCAAGAAAACACCCAUUGAUAAACAAAAAGCAAGACUGUUGAUUCAUUUUCUUGAGAUUACAUGAUAUAUAACGGGGAAAAGAAAAGAUAGAUGAUUGUUUACUUGGCUUCCAAGAGUUUGGCGAGCUGGACAGCGUCUUCUUGGCCAGAAACAAGAGUAAAUCGUGGGAGAAGUUGUUUGAUGACCGGUGUGAUUACAAUGUCGGCUCUUUCAUUCUUCAGAAGUUCCAUGUUACAUACACAAUGCGGUUCGUAGUAGAGAGAUAUCUGAUCUUCAGGGGAUACAAGGAGAUACCUGAGAACAAAAUAGAAGCACAACUCAAAAUAUACAUAACCAGGUUAUAAGUUGUUGUCGCAGACCAUAUUAAUGGAGGAAUUGAAAGCUUGAUGGGAGUUAAUUUUUUCUUUUACCCGUUUUCAGGGCGUUGCCAUGGUGGACCAAGGACAGGUCCUGCUGUGGCUUUAACUCGAACCUUAGAACCGUUUCUUGCGUUUAGCUCAUAGCUUUCUCCAGGUUCCAGAUAAGUGACCUACAGUAAUAGUUCAGCAACCCUUUAUAUAGCUCAUUCUCACUUUUUAAGAUUAGUCUGGAAUUCAGGUUAAGACUAGCAAAUAUGAAACAAGCCAGCAAGUCACUUACAUUUCUAAAAAGAGGAUCCAGCAAAGGCUUUGCAUUUGGAGUUGCAAUAACCUUUAUGCCUGGAUAUUUCUCAGAAAAUGGCCUAAGGGUGUUCAGAUGACAGUGAUCAUCAAGGCUUUGAGUAAUGAGUAGACAAUCAACUUCAGGGAGAUCAUCAAGCUGCACCAAAUAUAAAUUUUAGAAACUUACAAUCACAAUGAGAGACAUAAUCAUGAUGAAACUGCAUUACUAAUAAGAUUCCAUGAUAGAAACCGCUGAUGAUGUUUCAUGUUUUUAAAUGUUACCUUGAAGCCCUUCAAAUAUCUUUUGGCAGCAUCAUAGAGCCAUGGGAUUCCAAAAUCCAAAUUACCAACUAGAAUCGGAUCAACCAGGAUUUUCAAGCCACUUGUUUCCCAUAACCAGCUAUUGCCCUGACUCCCACAAAUUUGAAGACAUUUAAUAAUCAAAUACAAUGCAGCAUUUGCUAAUAGAAACACAAAAACCCAAGUAGUAAAAGAUCCCUAAAACGACCCAACUAAAUGAAGAAACCCCACCUCCAGGUAUGUCAGCUUGAAAGCAUCUGUCCCAGAGCCACUAAACCCAGUAGCUUGGUCCUCUGAUAAAACAGAAGAUACCACAUGCGGCGACAGCUUGAGGCGGAUGGAGAGGGACCUGGCAGCGAUAUGAGGAGCUGGUGAGAAAAGAGGAGAUGCAGAUGCACUUAGGACUCUUGGUUUGGUCUUGAUACAUAGAGGAAGAAGAGCAUUGGCCUGUAGUGGCAUCGUGGCUGCUUUGCCACCUGACACCACUAGAGCCAUUGAUUUUGUUCUGCAACCUGAAAAUGUUCAUAACACAAAAGGAGGUCUUUAAAUGAGUAAACUGAAAAGAGAUUCACCGGUUUAGCUUAGUAACAGAGUUUUACAAAACAUACAAGUCAUCAAAAGAUUGCUACUUAUAAUGAUGUUGACUUUGUCCUAGAUUCUAGACAGUACAGAGUUACAGGGGCGGACCCACAUAGAAGAAAGUGGGGGCAGUUGCACCCACAAACCUAUUAAGUUAUAAGUGUCAAAAUGGUUAAACUGCCCCCAUGUUAUGUUUGAGGUCAUGUGCUACAUUUUGAACCCAUUUAAUUUUUUUUCUGGGUCCGCCCCUGACAGAGUAGAGACCCAUCUCUCACAAAAUGCUCUUAAACAAACUUGAAGCAGACAAAUAUGGUACAAUAAAGUCCUAGGGUAAUCAUAGUUCACCUAUAGCUACGGCUUAAAGCAGCUGAAAAUUUAUCACAGGACCAAUAAUAGCUAAGGCUUAAGGGUAUCCUCACAGGACGACGAAACAAGCCUUGAUUUGGGAUGGGCACUUAAACAUAGUCUAAGAAAUCAAUACUAUCCCACUAAUCAACAUCGACACGGAUGAUAAAUUAACAACAAACUAAUCAAAUGUUGGAACUUUGAUUUAGUAGCCGCGAAUCCCAGAAAUGCUGACAUCAGAGAUAUACGAAACAGAACAAGAAGAAACCUGAUUUUAGAGUUGAAGAGAGAGUUGUUUGGUGAGAAAGGUAGUCUUCAGUGUCUUUCUGUUGAGUGAAUGGUUCUCCCAAGUUCCACAACACAGAGUUUGAUCACUCCGCACCCAACCAAAUUUAGGAGAGAUAGAGAGAGAAAGAGGAAUUGGUGGCUAGAGUGAAUUUCAUUAAAAACGCAGCGUUUUAAUAUUACUGGUCUCUCUGGCCUUGACCGAACCGGUUUACAGAAACCUUUCCUAAUUCUUUUGGUUUACUAUUACUUGAGUAAAAUUAAAUCAGACCAAGGUUAGACAUAGCCUCACGAAGAUCACCACUCUGCUUGAGCGAGACGUAACAGGACACACAUGACGCAGAAUUCAAUUUUCGAAGAGCAACACAGGACAGUUUCUUCAAGUUUGGUUCAAAAUGUUACAGUUGAGACUUUCGAUUCGUUAUGCGAUCAAGGAAAUGGCUGAAGAAGCUGUGGAGCAGUGGAGGUUUUGAAUUGCUUGGAGAAGAAGGGUUAUGCUAUGGAUUUGUUUUAGACUUUUAAGGUUAGCAAAAGUAUGCAUUGAACAAGAAGCUUUGGAAUUCGUGAGUGUAUACCAUUGCUCUGGUUUCCCCUUUUUUGAUAUUAGAUCUCGCAAUGUUAUCGUGGAAAUGUAUUCUAUUUGUGGAUCUGUUGAUGAUGCAUUGGGAGUGUUCGACGAAAUGCCUGAGAAGAAAUUUGGAGACUUGGUGUGUUAUGAUGAGGUGUUUUGCUAAAAGCGGAUACAGUGAAGCAGCAAUCGAUUUGUUUAAUCGUUUCAAGCAAGAAGGGAACAAACCAGAUGGAGAUAUAUUCAAAGAAGUCUUUGCUGCGUGUACGUUGACAGGAGAUGUUGACGAAGGAUCAUUGCAAUUUCAAUAUAUGUGCAGAGACUGUAGAAUCGUACCUUCCAUGUAAAAUUAUCAGAGUGUUACCAAGAUGUUGGCUACAUCUGGCUACUUGGAACCGAGUGUUGAUGAGUGGGAACUACUGAUGAAUCUUUCUCUGGUUCAUGGAGAUGUAGAGCUUGGAAGAUAGAUGUUAUGAGUUGAUUGAGAAGUUAGAUGCCACGAGACUGGAUAAGUGGCAACUGCAGGUCUUGUAGCAACCAAAGCAUCAGACUUUAUUAAUGAGGCACAGAGCUGUGACUCUGUAUAUAUUUAGACCGGAAGAUACUUCACAUUCAGAGACGAAGAUCAUUUACGAGACACUAAUGAGUUUGAGGUCACAACUGAAAGAAAUGGGUUAUGUUCCUGACACUAGGUUUUAUUGUAUUUUAAUCCUGGUUAUGGAGAAUAAAGAACGGGCUUAUGGUUACAAAGAGGAAGUCGAGAUUAUUAAAAGGCUUCUUAACUCAAGGCCUCGAUCUUCAAUCAAAGACGGUGUCUGCCAAUGCAACAAUUACUGGUGAGCUAACUAAUCACUUUCCUAUAUUCUGAAAAUCUUUUUUCUAAUAGAAACAAGUUGAGAUAGAGAGUAUCGAAACUUUAUACAGCCAUCUAGUUCUAUAUCAUUUAUAGAACCAAUAAAGUUUUUAGAGAUUUGGUUAAAUGAUCAUCAAGUUACUCGUUUGUGUCCUUGGAUGCCAUCUAAGUCAAUAUCAUGGAAGAGAAAUCGAUGUAAUAAUUCAAGUUUGAUAAACAUUCAUAUAAAUGUGUUUUUGGAUAUAUAAUAGUAAGGUUUCAAACAACUGUAAUGAUAUAACUAUUAAAAUAACUUCACAAACCUUUUUUCUCCAAUUAGGGGCAAGGCAAUGUGCAUAGCUUUUGAUAUUACAAUGACGAGGAAGAGAACUCUAUUGUGGAGUUUAAGAUCAUGGAUUCUGGGUAUAAUGGGUAGAGAUCAGAACCAGAAGCAGAGGAUUUCACUGUUGUUGUCGUUUGAUGAUCGGUCACACCAAACUUGCUCGAGCUACCAUCUGUAUCAAUCUCCUUCAACUUUGAGAUGCUCCAGUUUGGUCCAUAUAAACCAGGUCCUGACAUAACCUGGGGUAUCUCCAUCUCUCCCUCUAGCAUUUGCACAACCUCUGACAUUGUUGGCCUUAAGGAAGGAGAUGAGUUUAUGCAAACUAGAGCAACUUUGAUCAUCCUUGCUGCUUCAUUGUUGUUGAAUUCACCUUUGAGCAUUGCAUCUACGAUUUCCAUUAUGUCCCCUGUCUGUUGCAGCGUCAGCGCCUGAGUUUUGAUGUAAGAAACCAGUUUCAGUAAACUUAUGGAAACAGAUCAUGGAUUGAAUGGGCUCAAGAGAGAAAAAUCUCCACGGUUACCCAAUUGAUAAGCGGGACGUUUCCCUGCUGUUUUGUAUUACUCUUCCCACUAACAAUUUCCAUUGCCACAACCCCGAAGCUGUAAACGUCUGCUUUCUCUGUUAGUUGACCCCAUAAUGCAUAUUCUGGAGCCAUAUAACCACUGCAGCAAUAUUAGAGAAACUAAGAAUGACACGUUUCUGCAGCCAUGAUUGCGGUUUUCGUUAUAUGUUCUAUACUUACAUGGUUCCUGCAAUUUUGGUGCUAAUGUGACUGUGUUCUGCUUCAUGGAGCCUAGCCAAUCCAAAGUCAGAUAUCUUUGCAUUAAGGCCAGCGUCUAGAAGCACAUUCGUUGUUUUUAUGUCACGAUGAACCAUCCUCAUCGCCGAUCCUUCAUGGAGGAAUGCAAGCCCUCUUGCGAUUCCAAGACAGAUUUGUUGUCUUGCUGCCCAUUCCAGUUUUAAGGAACCCUUUUCUGGCAAUGAUAUACACCAAAGAGAUAUUACGUCACGUAAGAUAUAUGUGCACAUGAAUUAGACUUAAAAUGUCUUGAAAAGCUGAGUCACUUUUGUUUACCGAACAGCGGAUGAGCAAGGGAGUUAUUUUUCAUGUAUUCAUACACGAGCAGCAAGUGAUCUUUCUCGACACAGCAACCAUAAAGCUUGACAAGGUUUGGAUGAUUCAACCCUGAGAUCAUGCCUAUCUCAUUGACAAAUUCACGGUUUCCUUGGCAUGACUUGGAAGAAAGCUGCUUGACUGCUAUGAUAGUUCCAUCUGAUAGCUCUCCCUGCAUGAUGUUUCUCAUAUCAGAAACCCAAAACAACACUAUUUCUUUCUCAGGUGUCUAUUUACAUUUUGGCAUCUUACUUUGAAUACAGAUCCGAAACCUCCUUCUCCAAGUUUGUUGGCUUCAUCAAAAUUGUUUGUUGCAGCUUGCAGUUGCCUCCAAGUAAAGCAAAGCGUUUGCAGACCUUGCGCUCUCAGUUCUAUGUGAUCAUCAUGUUCACAAGAGAAAAUCAUUACUAAUGGCUAAAACUAUUGGAUUACCUUCUUGGAAUCCCUUUAUACACUGUGAACUCUGUUACCUCGUUCUAUUAUGUUCUUGUCUCCUCUGCUUCUCUUCCAUGCAUAUAUUCCCAUAGCUGAGAGAACAACUGUUACUGAAGCAAUAGUGACCCCAACAAUUAAGGGAUACUUAGUAUGAUGUUCUGUUUUCUCCGCUGCAGAGGAGACAAUAAAAGUGUUAAUGCUAAUAUACAUGAUAGAUCAUCUAUACUCUAAGCGAGGAAAACAUAUCUUUAACAAAGUAGUUUAUUUUUAUUUAUUUAUUUUUGUCUUUGGACCUCCACAUUGUGGCUCGAGACCUGAAAUUUUGAAAGAUGAAUAUUAGCGUUAGGUGGCACUAGGAACCAGUGUCAAAAAUUUUGGAGCUUCAACGAGUAGAAGAGAAGAGUAAACUUACUGUGACAUAAGGAGAUAGCAGAGAUAAGAGGACCAUAGUUUCCUCUUUGGGGAAUGAGGGUUGUCCCUUUCCCCGCCCAAUACAACCGAAUCUCUAACAUAUGAUUAGUUACAUUCGCGUUGGCUUCUUUCACGACAGGCUUCAGAGUCCCAUUAGCAUCCUCUUUGAUGUUAAAAUCCUUCACGAACAAUUCUCCCUAACCGUCGAAUCAAAUGAACUUCAAUCUUCCAUGCUUGAUUAUCGAAAAUAACUACUAAGUAAACAGUUACACUUUACCUGAACAUAAAUAUCGAAUAUGCGUAUACCGAGACUACUGGAUAGAUCUUUGUUUGAAAACUGAAUCUCCAUAAAAUGGAGUUUCACAUUGUACGCUCCAUUUUUCAAGCAAAAAGCAUAAUACGAUAGAGAAAGAGCAGAUUGACGUGCGGUCUUAUAAAAAAUAGGAGAAUCUCCGGAUAGUGGUAAACUAGGUGAAAUGAUGUAUAUAUCAUUUGGCAAGUAACCAGUGCUACUAACUCCCCAGUUUUCAAAGUGCUGAUUUGUAGCAGCUUUGGUUUCACUAUUAUCAGCUUGAUAAGUGAUUUUACCUAGAGAGGUUGGAAUAUUCUCACUUUCUCCACCACAAUUUAUAUGUAGUGAGCUUUGAUCUAUACAAUCAAUGAACAAAAAAAUUUCGCCAUCAAUCGAAAAACUAAGGAUGCCAAUUUUUAUUAUUAUGAAAAAAGGAGAGAGUAUAAACAUGGUAAGCAGAGCAGACAAAAAUGAUUAUGUUAUCUAAUGCAUCGUUGAGAUCAGUUUAACGGAUCAAUAUGCACUUACAUCUCGUGCACUUUAUUGGACCAGAACAUGGUAGAAGUCCAGUUCUGUAGGAAAAGAAGAUGAGGAGGAAUAAUGAGACAUCUCACUAGGCGAGACAUUUAACUAAUUUCUGUUUCCAGAUUACUAAGUUUAAUACAUUCUUGUUGCAUGAUGAAAUAGAAGAGUGAGUGUGCUUACAAAUUGUUCUUCAAGUAGGAGCUUCGGUAUGUGUUUAUGUUACUGAUUCAACAGAACGUGAGAAUAUAAACUUCAACAAAAGCAGAUUCUAAACUAAUGGGAAGAAUAUGUAAGUAUAUAUCUACCAUGAUUUCAUGUUCAUACCUCUUGUCCUGGCAGCUAGAUGAGUAUGAGAAAUUGUUAUAAGAGAGAUCACUUUGAAGAUUCACCAAAUAUACAAAACCAAGAAGAUGAUUAGCUAACAUGAGUAUAAUUUCUCGAGCCACACAAACGAGUAAGGGCGUGAAACGUACAUAUAAGAUUUACUGUUGAGGAAAACAUCAGAUCCAACGUUUCCGGAAAGCAUGUUGCCAGUCAAAUAGCUAAACAUGUUGAAACAAUGUAUUAAUACUCAAUGGUUAUUAGAAGGUCUUCAACUCCUAGUACUUACGUAUAUUGGGGAGGUUUCUUCAGUGCAGAUUGAACUUCCCCAGUCAACUGGUUAAACGAUAAAUCACUGCAGCAAAACAAAACAAAAAACAUAUUAAAUUGCAUGUUUGUAGCUUUUGUUCUUUUUAAAAUUAGCGUUUCACUAAUUCAGCUAAUGGUAAAGAUAAACAGAUGAUAAGACCAUGGAGGCAUGGAUAUAACAGAGUUUCAAGAAAAAGAACAAGAAAAAUAUGAUAGAGUACUUUCGAACUUACAAAUUCUUUUCACACAUUACAAAUAAAAGAACUUACAGAGUCCUUAGGACUGGCAUGUUCCAGAUGUAAGAAGGGAUUGGACCAGACAAACUCAUAUUUCUCAAAAUCCUGGAACAGGGACAGAGACUUAAGUUCAUCAGUUCUAAUAAAAAUCAAGCAUGAAGACGAGAAGUGCAUGGAUGAUAAAUACAUACAAGAUUUCCAUGGCUUUGCUUGGUAUAAAUGGAAAGGAGUUUAUCUCAGUGGUCAUAUCAAUAAUUCUCCUGCAUAUAAAUACAUGGCUUCAAACAUCAGUCUUGAAUCAAUUUUCCCUCUACUAAUAUACGUUUGAAAGCUAGACAAGUUAAUUACACAUCAGUAAGAUUUUGUAGGCGGAAGAUAUUAGUAGGAAUAGGUCCUUUCAGUCCACUUGCAUGUAAAUAUCUGUUGAUAAUAGCCGAGGCAAAUUAGACGGUGCAAAAACACAAACUAUAAAGAAAAUUACUAUAACCAGUGAAAGAGAAGCUUACAAAAUUCUAAGCCGAGACCAGUUGCCAAUAUACCCUGGAAUGAUGCCAUCAAAGUUAUUGUCACUUACCCUACUACAUAAAUGGAUGAAAAUUAACAACUAGUUUUAGAGGUUUAUAAAACUUAAUCUUCUUGAACUAGUUUAUAGGUUAUCUUAACUAAGCUAGAUAUGAUUAAAGAUGAGCAUUUGCAGUUACAAAGGCAAAAAUAUUUGAUAUACAAUAACUUACAAAUCCUGAAGGUUAACCAGCUUAGCAAGAGUGCUAGGAAGACUUCCUGUAAAUUGAUUGGAAGCAAGAUGCCUGUAAAACCCAAUUUUAGCAAAUAUUACAAGUGUACUCUUUCCAUAAAAGUGAUAAAACCAAAGAUUAUUGUGGUUUUGUAAACUAGUUAAUAUGCGAAGAAUCAUACAGUUUUUCUAGGUUGAUCAAGUUACCAAUCUCAUCAGGAAUUGGACCAGAGAACUGGUUGGCUUCGAGUCCUCUGAAAAUUUCAUCACAUAUACACAUUACUGUAAUGUUGGAUGUAAUUUAUAUAUGCACAUGCCUUCAGGUGAUGAAACAGUUAGAGACGUACAGAAAUGUCAGAUUCUUGAAGUUUUGUAACCCACUUGGUAAAUUCCCAGACAAACGAUUGGCGCAGAGCGAGCUGCAAGAAGAGUUAAAGUUACUUGCAAAUCAUGAAGAUGAAGAAACAACACACAUAUAUAUAGAGAGAGUAGUGAGAGGGAGAGCUAACAUGAAAGUGAGGUGUGGCAUUGAAGCCCACUCCAUUGGGAUAGAGCCAGAGAGGUAGUUUCGGCACAAGUCGCUUCAAAGAAGAGCAAGAAUAGACAUAUACUAUGUAUCAUGACUUCGUAAUAUCUCAAUUAAUUUAGCCGAAAAAAAGAGAAAUACAAAAUUAUUACAAAUCUUUUGUAAAAACGCUAAAAAAUCUCCUUUUAUUUUCAUUUACGCUAAGAAAUCCCUUUUAUUCUCAUUUUUGGUUUACUGUCAUAAUUAUAAAUAAAAAAAAUUGAUGAAAAACUUAUUUAAGGAUAAACAUAACAAAUUGAUGAAUAUUAACAUAACAAAAAGUAUUCUAUUUAAAAGAUAAACAUACUAUAUACUGUAGUACCAUAUAUAACAUAACACAAAACAAAAUUCACAUAUAUAUAUAUAUAUCCAAAUUUGUCACUGCAAACUGAAACCUCAAACUAUUGGUUAUAUACAGUAAAUGAUUCGUGAUAGCUAGAACUCACAUCGAUCGGAGAUAGGGAAGUUUGACCAACUCCGGUGGAAGUUUUCCUGGAAGACUGAGGGUCUUGAGAAUUCUGAUGACCAACCACGAGAAUAUAUGGUUAAUCAUGGAUCGAAAUAUAAAAGAAAAUGAGAAAAUCUAUAGGAGAAGGUAGAAGAGCAACAAGACGAGUACUCACAUGUUCGUAAUAUGGCAUGAGGUGCUAUUGUUGAUGUUACAAUCACAAACAAUGGUAUUCUCACUCCCUAGAAUCGGAGCAACAUCCAUCUUUAGUCCUCCUAAAGCGCAAGGGUCUCCAUAGUGUAGGUUAAGUCUCGUGAUACCUAGUGUGGAAGCUAUCUCUCCAAGCGCUUUUACUGCAUAAUUAAAUUUUGACCAGAAAAGCAAAUUUCUUGAUUACCUUUAUGACUGUGAUUUUAAGAUUUUGUAAGAAAUAGCUAGCUAAUGAAUCUUCUCAUACAUUCAUCUGGAUGAAGAACUGGUGAAAUGGCCGAUGUUCUUAGAGCUGCGAGGAAGGUAGUGAUGAUGGUGAAUAAUAGAAAAAUCGAGAAGAGGAUCGACAUAUCGAUAUAAAUUAUAUACAGUAUUUUCUUGGUUAAUCACAAUAUUAGUGAUGAUUCAAUGCUUAUAUAACAAUAUAGUAUACGCUAAAAGUAAAACUGCUGCAGAUAUUUGAAGAUGCAGUUCCAGAACAGCUUGCUGUGAAGAUCAGGAAGCCGCAUCUGUUCAGACGCCUGAGACCACAUCAGACGCCUGAGAUCACAUCAGACACUUGAAGUUGCUGACAUGGAGUUGUGAGAUGACGUGGCAAAGCUUAAGUGGAUGGAGUGACGUGCUAAGGAAGAUUUCUUGCUUGGCAGCAAAGAUAGAGACGAAUUGCGUGUGAAGAUAUGGUGAAUAUUCUUCACAUCAAAUAAGGAAAGGAUAAGCUUGACAAGCAAGUAUAUUCCGUUUCCGUGAGAUCCUCGAAGAUCCUAGGGUUAGGGUUUCGAGUAGUGAGUAUAAAUAGUCUAGGGUUUGGCCACGAGCCAUUUUGAACACUUUAGACUCUUUGUACGUGAUUAUAUACUUCGAAACUAGCAAAACAAAAAGCUGAGAAGGUGAGUGUUUGUUUUCUCUUGGGACUACACGGGUGUAGGAGAGAUAGGUUUAGUGCUCAGGUUCAAUUCUAUUGGUAGGAAUAGAUUGAGUAAGAGCCGAGACAAAAUUGUAUCCUAGGAAAAGAUAAAUUUUGUUAAUAAAGAUCGAAGGAAAAAGCGUUUGCUUGGCGCGUUCUAAGUUUAACUGUCUGUGCGUUUCUCUAUACAUUUUCAUUUGGUAUCAGAGCGGACGCCUGAUAAAAAAUCUGUUUAUCUUUUCAACAGGUGAGAUCCUGCAACAGAGGGUAUGGAGAAAUCACAGCAAUACGUUGCUAUAACUAAGCCGUUUAAGUUGGAUCCAGAACAUUACGGGUUCUGGAAGGUGCAGCUGAGACAGGAUAUUCAGAGUGCUGAUCUUGAUGCCUGGAUAGCUGUUGAAGAUGGAUGGACAGCCCCUGUGAAAACAAAUGAGGCUGGAGAUGCUGUUUCAAAACCCAAGAAGGAUUGGACUGCAGAGGAGAAACUUGCAGCAAAACACAAUGCAACAGCUCUGUCCUUAAUCUUCAAAUCGUUGCCUGUAAAUCAGUUCACCAGAGUUCAGGGAUGUGAAUCUGCAAAAGAGGCAUGGGAUAUUCUUCAGGUCACCUUUGAAGGAACCAGCAAUGUGAAGAGAACCAGACUUGACAUCUUAGCGUCUGAUUUCGAGAACUUGACUAUGGGAGAUAGUGAGACUAUUGAGGAAUUCAGCAGCAACCUGAGUAAUAUCUCUCAAGAGGCUAUAGUGUUGGGAAAACGCUAUAAAGAUAAGAAGUUGGUUAAAAAAUUUCUCAGAAGUCUGCCGGAGAAGUUUCAGCCACAUAGGUCUACAAUUGAUGUCUCGUUGAAUUCUGAUGAGUUAAAAUUUGAUCAAGUAGUUGGGAUGAUGCAGGCAUAUGAGCUACAAGUUAAGAAAAAGGAGCAGGCAAGUGGAAAAACUUUCGCACUGAAUACUGUUGACACUCAGGAGUCUGCAGAUGAUGAUAAAGUUGGCAUCAUUGAGGAAGGCGAUGAGAGUGUUGGUGUGACAGCUCAAGACGAUGUCAAUCAGGUAGUUGGUGAUGAAUCAGAGGAUGAUGAAGCAAAUCUUCCUACUGAAGAACAAGUUGCUCUCUUGAUCAGGAGUCUGAUGAGCAAGACAAAGGAGAUCUCUGAUCUAACCACCGUAAGAAAUGAACUUCAAUUGAAAUUUUCUGUGAUAUCCAAGGAUCUUGAAGCUGAGAAAGUCAAGUCGCAAGGUCUUGAGAGGCAGUUGGAGGAUCAACUCAGGAACAUCAAGAUGCUGAGCAGAGGGACUAAAGAUCUGGACAAACUCCUAACUGUGGGACGAACGGCUAAUGUCAACUGGGGUCUAGGGUAUCAAGGUGGAAAUUUCAAUGGUACAACUAAGUUUGUUAAGGCAGCUCCACAGUCAUCAGAAGCUACUCAAAGGAAGUCUGUUCCUCAGAAAAAUCAGAGACGUGCUGUGUCCUCAUUUAAUCAGGAACAAUCAGCUCAUGUCCGAAAAUCAAGAAUGGCUUCUCACGAACAGGUUCAGUCAGCGUACGGUUCUGUGUUUCGUCUUCACCGUAGCAGAAGAACAGGUUGUUGGUACUGUGGUAAUCUGAAUCACUACAAGGCACAAUGCUAUGGAUUUUUGAAUCGUGUGUCUGCAAUGAUGCAGCAUCAGUAAUAUCACAGGGAUUCAAAGAAUACGAGCAGAGUCUACAUCAGAAAGGAAGAUCUGUACUGCAAUGUUGCUUACACUGCUGAUGAACAGGAGUCAACUCAGGAGAAGUGGUAUUUUGACAGCGGAUGCUCAAGACACAUGACUGGAGCUCAAGACAAUCUGUCAGAGUUUACACAGGUUUCAGCAGGCAGAGUUACUUUUGGAGAUGGUGCAAAAGGAAAAAUCAAAGGAAAAGGUACCACAGGUGGUGAAUCUCAACCAAGAUUACAUGAUGUGUUUCUGGUUGAUGGACUGAAGGCCAAUCUGAUUAGCAUCAGCCAACUGUGUGAUGAGGGUCUGAAUGUAACUUUUACCAAGGCCAACUGCAAGGCUGUGUAUCGACUAGGACGUGUUCAGCUCGAGGGACAGCGGUCUGGCAACAAUUGUUACAUGUGGAGUUCUGGUAACCCUUGCUUUCAAGCAGCUGUAGAUUUUCAAACUGAGUUGUGGCAUAAGAAAUUAGGACAUCUGAAUGUUCGUACGAUGUUGAGACUUGCACAUCAGGAGGUUGUUCGAGGAAUGCCAAAGCUAAAGGCUGAUCCUUAUUUUGUGUGCGGACCGUGUAACAAGGGCAAACAAGUGAAGGUUGCUCACAAAUCGGUUCCUGAUGUUCGUGCUGUUCAUGCUUUGGAAUUGGUUCACAUGGACCUAAUGGGACCAAUGCGUGUCCAAAGUCUGACAAGUAAGCGUUUUAUUCUUGUUAUGGUUGAUGAUUUUACGCGCUACACAUGGGUCCGUUUUCUACGAGAGAAAUCGGAUACUCUUAACAGUUUCAGAAUUCUUGCUCUGCAACUCAAGAGUGAAAAAUGGGGAAUCAAGACAGUACGAAGUGAUCAUGGUGGUGAAUUCCAGAAUGAGUUGUUUGAUCAGUUCUAUGCUGCUCAAGGGAUAACUCAUCAAUAUUCUGCUCCUCGCACACCUCAGCAGAAUGGAGUUGUUGAGCGGAAGAACAGAACGCUGCAAGAAAUGGCUAGAGCUAUGCUGCAUGGUAAUCAAGUCGCUCAACAUUUCUGGGAUGAAGCAAUCAACACUGCAUGUUACAUCAUCAAUCGGGUCUAUGUGAGGAAAGGAACCAACAAGACCUCUUAUGAGCUGUGGAAAGGAAAAACACCAUCAAUCAACUAUUUCCAUGUGUUCGGAUGUAUGUGCUAUAUCCUUAAUGACAAGGAUCAACUGGGCAAGUUUGAUUCCAGGAGCGACGAAGGCAUGUUUCUGGGGUACUCAGGCAACAGCACAGCCUACCGAGUUUACAACAAACGGUCCAGGAUGGUUCAAGAGACUGUUAACGUGGUGUUUGAUGACGCGUCUUUUCGUGUUUAUGAAGAUGUGUCCUCAGUAACUAAUGCUCCUAAGGAUUUCAAUGAAGGAGUUGUGGGGUAUGAACCAAGUCCAGAGCAGGAAGUUGAUGAUGGCUCCAACGCCGAUGACGACACGGCUGAGCUUCUACCUACUCCUCAGGUGCAUAAGAAUCACACCUCUAAUGAUAUUAUAGGUACGAUUCAGGGGGGCAGAGUUACUAGAGGAAAGAAGAUUGACUUCAAGCAACUCGCUGGUCAGAAGCAGAAGAAUGUUGCUGCUGAAGUUCCACAGAUGGCUGCGGUUGUGCAGUUUGCUUGCUUCGUGUCAACCCUGGAGCCCAAGAAUCACAGAGAUGCUCUUGUUGACGAAUUUUGGAUUGCUGCUAUGCAAGAUGAACUAGAGCAGUUUGAACGGAGUGAUGUCUGGGAACUCAAACAACGACCAGCUGAUGUCAAUGUUGUGGGAACUAAGUGGAUCUUCAAAAACAAGAGUGAUGCACAUGGAUGUAUUGUUCGCAAUAAGGUGCGGUUGGUUGCUCAAGGAUACUCUCAGAUAGAAGGCAUUGAUUUUGACGAGACUUUUGCUCCUGUAGCAAGACUGGAAUCCAUCAGGUUUCUGUUUGGCAUGGCAUGUGCUCUAAAUUUCACAUUGCAUCAGAUGGAUGUUAAGAGUGCCUUUCUAAAUGGAAUUCUCCAAGAAGAAGUGUAUGUGGAGCAACUUAAAGGAUUUGAGAAUCCUCAGCGUCCUGAUCAUGUGUACAAGCUAAAGAAGGCUCUCUACGGACUGAAACAGGCUCCAAGAGCUUGGUACGAGCGUCUGACAACAUUUCUGAUCAAACAAGGAUAUGUGCGUGGGAAUGUAGACAAAACAUUGUUUGUGUUUCAAGAUAACAAUGGUGUGAUGUUUGUUCAGAUAUAUGUUGAUGAUAUUGUCUUUGGAUCCACAUGUCAGCCGCUAGUUGAUCAGUUUGUGAAGAACAUGACUCAAGAAUUUGAAAUGAGCAUGUGUGGGGAGUUAAACUAUUUCUUGGGACUGCAAGUGAAACAAUCAGCUGAUGGAAUAUUUGUUUCACAAAGCACUUAUGCCAAGAAUUUAGUUGAACGUUUUGGUCUCGCCAAGAGUAAAGAGGCGAAGGUCCCAAUGAGUGUGACUGACAAGCUCUCAAAGGAUGAAGCAGGAGAGGAUGUUGAUGAACGAGUUUACAGAGGAAUGAUCGGGAGUCUGUUGUACUUAACUGCCAGCAGACCAGACAUCUGUUUAUCUGUUGGAAUCUGUGCUCUGUAUCAAGCCAAACCAAAGAAGUCUCAUUUGUUGGCUGUUAAGAAGAUCAUCAAGUACAUCAAGGGGACUGUAAAUCUUGGAAUAUACUACACCAAGGAUACAACCAGGAGCUUGACAGGCUACUGUGAUGCUGAUUGGGCUGGUUCAUUGGAUGAUCGUAGAAGCACAAGUGGUGGAUGUUUCUUCAUGGGCAACAACCUGAUUUCAUGGCACAGCAAGAAACAGAACAGUGUUUCUCUGUCAACAGCAGAAGCCGAGUACAUUGCACUGGGAAGCUGCUGCACUCAACUCAUGUGGAUGAAACAAAUGGUUGCUGACUAUGGUAUGGAUUCUGAAACUCUUUUAAUUCAUUGUGAUAACCAAAGUGCAAUCAACAUAGCUAAGAAUCCUGUUCAACAUUCACGUACUAAGCAUAUUGAUAUUAGACAUCAUUUUAUUCGUGAACUUGUUGAGGCGAAACUGAUUGUGGUUGAUCAUGUGAGUACAGAAUUUCAACUGGCUGAUUUGUUUACUAAACCAUUGGAUUUUAACAGAUUCGUGAAUCUGAGAAAAUCCAUUGGGAUUUGUGAGAUCUAACUUUCUCUGUGAGUUGUGCUGAUCUAAGACAGGGACUGGAGCAAGAACAGACCAUGGAAAUCCUAAGAAUGAAUAGAAGAUCAGCACCCUGUACUUCGGUUUAAAAAGAGUGGAAAAUAGCUACCUGUCAUGCCAACUCUUGUGGACAUUCCUGUAAAAUGUUGUCGUGAUAACGGAGGUCAAAGAGCUGAGGAGAGGUGGAAGUGUGCAUGUCACGAGAUGUACUUGGAAUUGUGAUACAUCACUAAGUCAAUUCCAGUACUCUAUUAAUGGAGCUCUGAAUAUGCUAUUGAAGACAUGCACAAGGAUCAGUGGUUGAGAAGUCAAGUGAUAUCAUUGAUCCACAAAUCAGAAGGUUUAACAGAGGCUUGGUCAAAAAUCAACGAUCUGAGAGAAGGCUCUGCCUGACUGUUAAAUCAUAGCUCCACAGGUAGUGUGUUAAACAAAAAAAAAAGAAAAAAAAAAAAAAAAAAAAAAAAAAAAAGGGUUUAACACACUCCUGGUCCUGCACUCUCCAAAGGUUAUUCCAGCUGCCUGUUCAUGUUGGGUUUGGAAGCUUGAGUUAAAGGUAUGCCAGAGUGAAAGACUAGCCACUGAACUCAGAGCUGAUCUGUCAAAGAUUCAGAAGGUUGUGGU